This 21-nucleotide microRNA is filed under the name Dictyostelium discoideum. RNAcentral's name for it is "ddi-miR-7099". The record is from miRBase by way of RNAcentral. Lineage: Eukaryota; Evosea; Eumycetozoa; Dictyosteliales; Dictyosteliaceae.
UAAUCCUCAUUUAUUGCAUUA